Long non-coding RNA from Nerophis lumbriciformis (worm pipefish), 2502 nucleotides. RefSeq lists it as uncharacterized. Lineage: Eukaryota; Metazoa; Chordata; Actinopteri; Syngnathiformes; Syngnathidae. The record is from RefSeq and is a predicted model, not a curated record.
GCCACCCAGCGGAGGAAACUCAUUUCGGCCGCUUGUACCCGUGAUCUUGUCCUUUCGGUCAUGACCCAAAGCUCAUGACCAUAGGUGAGGAUGGGAACGUAGAUCGACCGGUAAAUCGAGAGCUUUACCUUCUGGCUCAGCUCCUUCUUCACCACAACGGAUCGAUACAGCGUCCGCAUUACUGAAGACGCCGCACCGAUCCGCCUGUCGAUCUCACGAUCCACUCUUCCCUCACUCGUGAACAAGACUCCGAGGUACUUGAACUCCUCCACUUGGGGCAAGAUCUCCUCCCCAACCCGGAGAUGGCACUCCACCCUUUUCCGGACGAGAACCAUGGACUCGGAUUUGGAGGUGCUGAUUCCCAUUCCAGUCGCUUCACACUCGGCUGCGAACCGAUCAAGUGAGAGCUGUAGAUCUUGGCCAGAUGAAGCCAUCAGGACCACAUCAUCUGCAAAAAGCAGAGACCUAAUCCUGCAGCCACCAAACCAGAUGCCCUGACUGCGCCUAGAAAUUCUGUCCAUAAAAGUUAUGAACAGAAUCGGUGACAAAGGGCAGCCCUGGCGGAGUCCAACCCUCACUGGAAACGGGUCCGACUUACUACCGACAAUGCGGACCAAGCUCUGACACUGAUCAUACAGGGAGCGGACCGCUGCUGGUGGCCAUGAUUGUAAACAAUGUGCGGAUGUGAGGAGCUCCACAACCUGUGACGUCACGCUACUCGUCUGCUACUUCCGGUACAGGCAAGGCUUUUUUAUCAGCGACCAAAAGUUGCGAACUUUAUCGUCGAUGUUCUCUACUAAAUCCUUUCAGCAAAAAUAUGGCAAUAUCGCGAAAUGAUCAAGUAUGACACAUAGAAUGGACCUGCUAUCCCCGUUUAAAUAAGAAAAUCGCAUUUCAGUAGGCCUUUAACCAGUUUGGAGACUUCGUCUUAGACUAGUCAGGAAGUAGAAGAGCAGAAUUCUGCUUCUGAUUGAAUUGACAGCUGAAAAGAUGUGAUAUGAGUGAAGAUGCACCUUCUGGAUGGACUUCCUUCACCAGAGUGAGGUGUUGGCUUAGCAUGAGCAGCGUAAGCAGCUCACGGUGCGUUUUGUGCUCCCACAGCUGGUGACGCUGGUAACGAGCUCUCAGAGAGACGUGAAGGCUGAAGGCUGAGUGAGACACAGCAGUCGGCACACAGAUGCUUUGUGCACUGGAACACAGAGAGAUGUCUCCAUCGCUGAGGGACCUCAUCACACUUGGACAUUUAUGCACUAAUUGCUCCUCAUCUCAUCCAUCAUGUCUUCUUUGGCUCUUUAUGGCUGAGAAAAUCUGCAUUUUUCAACAAUAUUUUGCCAGUCAAUCACGUUGAUGUUGAUCUUUGUGUCCAUGUAGUUGUGAUGUCAUCAUUUGGGGCUCAUGUGUCAUCACAUUGACAAGGAUUUCUUCUUUCCUUUUCAAACCAAUAGACAGCUGCUUAUCAGUGAAUAUCACCUUGUGUCACAUGGCAUCAUUAUUUCUACUAAUAUUUUGGAACAGUAGUACCAUUUUUAAGUACUUUAGUAUGUUAAUGUUAAUUGUUUAUGUAACAUUUAAGAAUGAUGAUUAUGAGAACUGCUGUCCAGUUGUUAUAUCUUGUUUUCUGAUGACAUUAGUCUCAUUUGCAAUGCAGUUGCACUUCCAAGGCCAUUAGAUGGCAGCACUGUAUAACUAUUUGUGGUAUAUUGUCAAACUAGAAAGUGGCUUUUUUUCAGGAAGAGGAAUUUGUUAGCUUGCGCCCUACAAAGUGCCAAUACUGUAAGAAUUGUCCUCAUUACACAAAACUGUAAAAUUCUAACUAUAAUCUUAGUUGUAGUUUCCUUGACCAAAUUCCAAGGUGUUGAAAUCGCCAUGUAAAAUCGCCCAUGCUAAUAGUAGCCUGUCUAUGGCAAAUCCUAUGUAAAUUAGCAAUAAGCUAGCACAUUUUGAACGAGUGUAACAUUACUUUACGUUUGAGUGUUUUUUUAUGAAGCACACUUUGUUGGUGUUGAAAAUGGCAAAAUGACUUAGAGGGAGUUUGGCUGAGUCCGGCCUGAGUGCUGCUUGAGUGAUUGUUUACGUGUUUAGUCUGAAAGCAGACAUGACCAGUCUGAAAACGGACAUGACGUCACAUGCAACAAAGGUACGGAACUAUGGCACCGUUUGAUUUUACGUGAAUUGAUAGUACCGAGGGAAUUGGGUCAUUACCUACAAAAGCACUGAAUUGGGCAGCCAACCCUACCAGUUAGUGUGACGGAGGAGGACAGUGACACAACAUUUUUAUGACAAAGCGUUGCAAAAUAUUUAUAUUUUUUUAAACAAUUUGCUGUUUUUCCGUUCCUUUUUGCAUAGUCAUAUUUUUGCUUGAUUGCCAAAGAUGGUGAGGAUGUCAUUUGGGAAGUAAACAAGGAAGGCCGUUCAUAUACUCUUGAAUAUUCAGUGUUUUAUGUGUGCUAUGUUUCAUGUACAUUCUGGCUGUUUUAUUCAGUAAAAACUUGUCAAAUACAA